This 561-nucleotide ribosomal RNA is filed under the name Stevenia sp. n. 3 AT-2015. RNAcentral's name for it is "eukaryotic LSU rRNA". Lineage: Eukaryota; Metazoa; Arthropoda; Insecta; Diptera; Rhinophoridae. The record is from RNAcentral. RNAcentral also lists the same sequence under 1 other name.
GAACCUGAAUAUCCAUUAUAGAGAAUUCAUCAUUAUGAUUUUAAUAUUUAUAAUAUUAUAAUAAUGGUGUGCAUUUUUUCUAUAAAAGGACAUUGUAAUCUAUUAACAUAAAUUUAUAUUUAUCAUAAGAUCAAUUCGCGUAAGUUUAUUUAAAUUAUUUUGCUUGCAAUUUAAUAUCGAAUAAAUGCAUUUGAUUUGAUAAAGUGUUGAUAGAUUUAUUAUAUAUAGUGCUUAAAUAUAUAUAUAUUUUAUAAUAUCAUAUUAAUCAAUGAUUAUUAUGUUUAUUUAUAUGCACUUAUAUGAUUAACAAUGCGAAAGAUUCAGGAUACCUUCGGGACCCGUCUUGAAACACGGACCAAGGAGUCUAACAUAUAUGCAAGUUAUUGGGUAAAUAAAACCUAAUAGCGAAAUUAACAUAACUUAUAUAAUAAUGGGAUUAGUUUUUUAGCCUAUAUUUUUUAUAGUCUAUUAAUUCAAUCCCGGGGCGUUCUAUACAGUUAUGUAUAAUAAUAUUAAUAUUAUUUAUACCUCUAACUAGAACGUACCUUGAGCAUAUAUGCU